Molecule: ribosomal RNA, 877 nt
Filed under: Isochrysis galbana
Lineage: Eukaryota; Haptophyta; Isochrysidales; Isochrysidaceae
Description: partial Bacterial large subunit ribosomal RNA
Rfam family: Bacterial large subunit ribosomal RNA
Source: RNAcentral
AAGCAGCCCGUACCGUAAACCGACACAGGUAGUUGGGAUGAGAAUUCUAAGGUGCUCGAGAGAUUCAUGGCUAAGGAACUAGGCAAAAUAGACCUGUAACUUCGGGAGAAAGGUCGCCCUCAGUAAUGAGGGCCGCAGUGAAAAGGUCCAGGCGACUGUUUAUCAAAAACACAGGGCUUUGCUAAAUUGAAAGAUGAUGUAUAAGGCCUGACACCUGCCCGGUGCUGGAAGGUUAAGAGGAAGGGUUAGCGCAAGCGAAGCUCUGAAUUUAAGCCCCAGUAAACGGCGGUGGUAACUAUAACCAUCCUAAGGUAGCGAAAUUCCUUGUCGGGUAAGUUCCGACCUGCACGAAUGGCGUAACGACUUCCCAGCUGUCUCAACCGCGAACUCGGCGAAAUUGCACUACGAGUAAAGAUGCUCGUUACGCGCAGCAGGACGGAAAGACCCCGUGACCUUUACUACAGCUUGGUAUUGGUGUUCGGUGUGGCUUGUGUAGGAUAGGUGGGAGACUGUGAAGCGGGCACGCUAGUGUUCGUGGAGUCGUUGUUGAAAUACCACUCUGGUCACUCUGGAUAUCUAACUUCGAACCGUAAUCCGGUUCAGGGACAGUGCCUGGUGGGUAGUUUAACUGGGGCGGUUGCCUCCCAAAAAGUAACGGAGGCGCCCAAAGGUUCCCUCAACCUGGUUGGCAAUCAGGUGUCGAGUGUAAGUGCACAAGGGAGCUUGACUGUGAGACUGACAGGUCGAGCAGGGACGAAAGUCGGGACUAGUGAUCCGGCAGUGGCUUGUGGAAGCGCUGUCGCUCAACGGAUAAAAGGUACCUCGGGGAUAACAGGCUGAUCUUGCCCAAGAGUCCAUAUCGACGGCAUGGUUUGGC